UUUUCAGACCUAACUAUCGCCUGCCUUUAAAUAGGUAGGAGGAAAGUCCGGGCUCCAUAGAGAAUAGUGCCGGGUAACACCCGGGAGCUAUUUAGUUCUCUAAAUAGCGACAGACAGUGCCACAGAGAUAUACCGCCUAGGAGUAAUUCUAGGUAAGGGUGAAAAGGUAGGGUAAGAGCCUACCGGGAAAACAGUAAUGUUUUUUGCUAGGUAAACCUCACUAGGAGCAAAGUCAAGCAGUAGUUCUGGAUUUCUCGUCCUAUAGGCUACGGGUAGACUGCUAGAACAUUAAAGUGAUUUAAUGUGUAGAUAGAUGAUAGUUUUUAACAGAACUCGGCUUACAGGUCUGAUUUUUUU
Molecule: RNase P RNA, 357 nt
Filed under: Thiospirochaeta perfilievii
Lineage: Bacteria; Pseudomonadati; Spirochaetota; Spirochaetia; Spirochaetales; Spirochaetaceae
Description: Spirochaeta sp. P Bacterial RNase P class A
Rfam family: Bacterial RNase P class A
About the family: Ribonuclease P (RNase P) is a ubiquitous endoribonuclease, found in archaea, bacteria and eukarya as well as chloroplasts and mitochondria. Its best characterised activity is the generation of mature 5'-ends of tRNAs by cleaving the 5'-leader elements of precursor-tRNAs. Cellular RNase Ps are ribonucleoproteins.
Source: Rfam by way of RNAcentral